AAUUUGAAGAGUUUGAUCAUGGCUCAGAUUGAACGCUGGCGGCAGGCCUAACACAUGCAAGUCGAACGGUAACAGGAAGCAGCUUGCUGCUUCGCUGACGAGUGGCGGACGGGUGAGUAAUGUCUGGGAAACUGCCUGAUGGAGGGGGAUAACUACUGGAAACGGUAGCUAAUACCGCAUAAUGUCGCAAGACCAAAGAGGGGGACCUUCGGGCCUCUUGCCAUCGGAUGUGCCCAGAUGGGAUUAGCUUGUUGGUGGGGUAACGGCUCACCAAGGCGACGAUCC
This 285-nucleotide ribosomal RNA is filed under the name Escherichia coli. Its description in RNAcentral is "partial 16S ribosomal RNA". It matches the Rfam family "Bacterial small subunit ribosomal RNA", at positions 1 to 282 of the family's 1533-position model. The record is from RNAcentral. Lineage: Bacteria; Pseudomonadati; Pseudomonadota; Gammaproteobacteria; Enterobacterales; Enterobacteriaceae.